RNAcentral lists this ribosomal RNA (455 nucleotides) under uncultured bacterium. Its description in RNAcentral is "bacterial SSU rRNA". It matches the Rfam family "Bacterial small subunit ribosomal RNA", at positions 28 to 496 of the family's 1533-position model. The record is from RNAcentral.
GACGAACGCUGGCGGCGUGCUUAACACAUGCAAGUCGAGCGGUAAGGCCCUUUCGGGGGUACGACGAGCGGCGAACGGGUGAGUAACACGUGGGUGACCUGCCCUCAGCUCUGGGAUAAGCCUGGGAAACCGGGUCUAAUACCGGAUAUGACUCCAUGACGCAUGUUGUGGGGUGGAAAGCCUUGUGCGGCUGAGGAUGGGCCCGCGGCCUAUCAGCUUGUUGGUGGGGUGAUGGCCUACCAAGGCGACGACGGGUAGCCGGCCUGAGAGGGCGACCGGCCACACUGGGACUGAGACACGGCCCAGACUCCUACGGGAGGCAGCAGUGGGGAAUCUUGCGCAAUGGGCGAAAGCCUGACGCAGCGACGCCGCGUGAGGGAUGACGGCCUUUGGGUUGUAAACCUCUUUCAGCUCCGACGAAGCGAGAGUGACGGUAGGAGCAGAAGAAGCACCGG